GGAUAUAGCUCAACUGGUAGAGCGCAUACUUAGCACGUGUGAGGUUCUGGGUUCAAUCCUGGUACCUCCU
This 70-nucleotide transfer RNA is filed under the name Camelus bactrianus (Bactrian camel). It matches the Rfam family "tRNA". Rfam says of the family: Transfer RNA (tRNA) molecules are approximately 80 nucleotides in length. Their secondary structure includes four short double-helical elements and three loops (D, anti-codon, and T loops). RNAcentral also lists the same sequence under 1 other name. The record is from Rfam by way of RNAcentral. Lineage: Eukaryota; Metazoa; Chordata; Mammalia; Artiodactyla; Camelidae.